AAAACUGGAAGGCAAAAAGGUAUCAACAAGUCAAUCACAUAAAUCUAAUUAACUGUUUACAAACCCUAGAAUCAGAAAAGUAAACUAGCUAGACAUCAGGAAAUAAAUUAAAAAUAUAAUAAAUAAGAAAGCAGUAAAAUAAAUGAAAUUGAUAAAACCCGGAAAUAAUUCUAAAUGAAUGGCUUGAAUCUUGAAGUCUUCCAGAAAAUAAAUCUA
This 216-nucleotide long non-coding RNA is filed under the name Salvia miltiorrhiza (redroot sage). Its description in RNAcentral is "long non-coding RNA (SMIL_LNC011495)". The record is from RNAcentral. Lineage: Eukaryota; Viridiplantae; Streptophyta; Magnoliopsida; Lamiales; Lamiaceae.